This is a long non-coding RNA of Candoia aspera, 1988 nucleotides long. RefSeq lists it as uncharacterized. The transcript has 3 exons. The record is from RefSeq and is a predicted model, not a curated record. NCBI's taxonomy places the organism in Eukaryota, Metazoa, Chordata, Lepidosauria, Squamata, Candoiidae.
UUGCUUAUUCUGCUGAAAUUCAGUUACGUUAUUAGAUAGUCAAAGAAUCUAAUGUGGGACAGAAGUGAGUUAGAAGCAACAUUUGCGUUUCUUUCUCCAUUGGCUUUUCUUAUUCCUUUAAAUCAGUGUUUUUCAAACUUGGCAACUUCAAGGUGUGUGGACUUCAGCUCCCAGAAUUCCCCAGCCAGGAAGGCUGGGAGUUGAAGUUGACACAUCUUAAAGUUGCCAAGUUUGAAAAACACUGAUUUAAAGGAAUCCUUACUACUGAAAUCAGUGAAAAACCUGUUUGAAAACAUAUUACAGUCCAGGAAAUAUGGAAUCUAGCAUUGCUGUGGCCAUACAUCCUUUUCCUCUUUGAGUAUUAGAGUAAGUUUGCCUCAGAGGACACUGUGAAUAGCGAAAGGAGAUUCUAAAGUCAGAUUUCCCCCUCCAAGUUCAAAAUAUUUUCAGCCUCACAAUGGAGGCAGAACCCUUAAGAGAUCAUAGGAUUAGAUUCUUAGGCUCCAUAAAUUGAUCCCCUACUUAAUGUUUAGGACCAUUUAUUUGAAUUGUGUUUCUUAGUCCGAAACUUACAAAGGGAAACAAACACAAAGUUUAAUGUUAAUAAAACUAUUCAUGAAAUCUAAAAAAGUUUAAGAUAUGUUAAUUGCACUGUGAAGGAUUCGUAAAGUAUGCCCACAUCUAAGUUCAUAGUUUUUGCUCCACUCUAAUAAGCAAAUAAGUAAAUUAACUUAGCAGAAGACUGUAACUGGAUUUUUACAUUUCUGAUAAAAUGAAAAAGAGGAGCAGGAGCAGGAGGAGAACACAGUAGAAUGACAGUGAAUCUACCUGCAAUUGGAAAAGAUCUGUCAGUGUUUUCCUUUCUACGUAAUACAUGGGUUGGUUUGGGUGUUCAAUACCAGUCCGUACAAAGGCCUUGUAGCUUUCUGUUUCAAUGGCUUAUUGACAUAAGGUGGAGUUCGGGGCUACUGCCGUGGAGGCAACUUCCUGCCACAGCUUCUAAUAGUCAUAAAUCAGAACAAUAGGGCUGCCCUUUUUGUUCAUAACACUAAGUAUCAGGAGGAAAUUUUUGAAGAACUUCAUAGAAGAAAAUAAAAAUAGCCCUAACCAUCAUAAUAAUUCCUUCUAAUAGUGCUUCAAUUACAUUUUAAAGUUAGUUAGCAGAGAAUUCAUCCGAAGUUCUUCCUUUCUUUCUUUUAUGGAACAAUACCAAGCUAGCCAGUCAUGUGUCAAUACUCAGAAAGUAUAUCAAACCUCUGAAAAUGUAGUAAUUCCAUUUUUUAAAAAGAAAAUUUAUUGUCUGGGUUCACACACCUUUCAAAGCUAUAAUAUGAUUUAUUUGGUUCAGUGUGGUGUGAUAUGUGAAUUCAACCUUUAUAACUUAUAAACUAUGGUUUAUGUUUUAGUGUUGUAUGAACCAGGCUACUGUGAUUUAUUCAACAAAUAACAAACCAUGUAUUAAAAUGAAAUAAGAAACAACUAAGUAUCUCCAUUACAUUUCCUUCCCUUUCCUUCUCCUCAAAUGGCACCAGCAAUGUCCAGAUAUUUUGAAGUUAAAUCAGUUAUCUUAUUUACUCAGGUUUUUUUUUUAAGUCAGAUUGCUCCUCAUACUUCAAAUAAUGGAAAUUAUUUUCAAGUUGCUUUACAUAAACACUACUACACCUUUCAUAUUACAGGGCAAAAGAGAAACGCCAGUUCAUCUGUGGAAUUCAUUUAUUUGGUCAAUAUUGUCCUUUGUGGAAGACACACUGCUUCAUUGUUUUCUAACAACUUCUAGUAAUUCUACCAUGGCCAAUACUUGGCAGAACACCAAGGUGCUGCUUUCCACAAAUGAUCAAAUACAACGACUCCUGGGUGAACAUCCAAGAGAGUGGAAGGAUUAAAACAAAAAGAAUGAAACCUCCUCUGUACGAGCAGGGGAAAAAUUAGAGGAAAAUAGAAUGGAUAUGGAAUUGGAGGAAUCUAACAGAAACAGUGCUAGGAGACAG